RNAcentral lists this long non-coding RNA (1939 nucleotides) under Mus musculus (house mouse). Its description in RNAcentral is "predicted gene 12763". The record is from RNAcentral. Lineage: Eukaryota; Metazoa; Chordata; Mammalia; Rodentia; Muridae.
GAGCAACGGAUGUCAGCGCCAUCUUGUAUCGGCGACUGUGAGGGCGGCUCCUCACACAAUGGACCUAAAUUGCCCCCCUUUCAGGUAACCCAGUUGAUCCAUGGCUGCUGGACAGCUACAAAUUGCAGCUGAAUGAGGGCACUAAAAUCAGGGGGUCCCACUGAGAAAUGCUCUCUUGAGUGGAGCUCCACAGAAAACAGAAGAAAAGUAACAGUAUCCUGCAUGGUGAAUAAUCUCUGCAACUGUGAUUACUGGAUUCAGCAAGUGACAAGAUUCCUUUUCUCUUGAAAUUACAGCUAGAAAAGAUAAGAAUUUUUGUUUGGUCUUAAUAUACAAGAUAUUUUUAGUCACUUCAUUUUUGUUUCUGCCUGGUUUGAAAGGUGCUUUCCUGGGGGAAGGACAAUAGGACACUCAAUCAUCAUGCAAUCAGACAUACCUCCCAGAGACUGCCAAACAGCUUCCAGACUAACCUCUGUGCAGUGCUUAGCCUUACAACUCUACGGAGCGAUGGCUUCAUUGUUCAUUCUUCAUGGCAACAAGCCAAAUCUGAGGUGACUGCCCUGCUUCUACUGUGGCAAAUGCUUGCACCACCACGGCGGCAGUGCAGACCUGGGCAUUCCGCAACUGACACAUACACCAUACACACAACACACAUGGCAAAACAAGGGCCACAGCGGGGGCACCUAUUCCAGCCCAUUCUUUCCGGAUGCUAAGUCAGGAUCCACUUGGGUAGAAUUCACAGUGACAAUCACCGAGCGAAGCUCAUUCAUCUUGCCAUCAAAAUUUGCAGUCCAAUUUUAACACCGACAGUAUCCCCCAUCUGGGUUCCGCACCCAUCAGGGGCAGACACAUGCUCAUCACCAGCAAGAUCAGCUUCUUCAUUUUGACAGCAUCGCACUAGCCGCUCCGGAACCCACACUGGCUCUGCGCUAUUCUGUGGAAACAUGCAAACAGAUCCUCUCACCCAGGCCAACACGGGAUCCGGACCAUUCCAUGGUCCUGUAAGCACAUCCUUCCAUUUAGCAUACCCCAGUUUACUGGGGCUGGUAUUAGCAUGUCGUUCAGCAGCAGAGCGACCUUCCUUAUCCAAUUGCAAAAAGUUUAAGGUAAAAAGAGCUAAGGAGAGUCUUAUUUUGGGGGUAUGGCCAUAGCCUAUUACCCCUUUUUGUUUUGUUAAUAAUUCUUUUAAGGUUCUAUGUGCUCGUUCAAUGAUUCCUUGGCCUUGAGGAUUAUAUGGCAGGCCGUGUUUAACUUGUACUUCCAUCUGUUGACAAAAAGACACCAGGGUUUUGGUAGUAUAUGCAGGGCCAUUGUCUUUUUAAGUUGUUGGGGCUUACCCCAAGCUGCCCAGGCCUCCAAACAAUGCUGUAUAACACGGGAGGCCUUUUCCCCUGCCAUGGAGAUGCAUAAACUAUUCCUGAACAUGUGUCAAUGGAUACAUGAAUGUAUUUCAAUUUUCCAAAUUCUGAAAAGUGUGUCACAUCCAUCUGCCACACCUGUAGAGGGAGCAAUCCUCUAGGAUUCACUCCAUAAGAAGGUGGGUGUUGAAACUCUUAGGCAACAUCCACAGAUAGUGACUACAUCCCAAGCUUGUGCUCUAGAGAUCCCAAAUUUUCUCUGCAGAGUUUUAGCAUUAACAUGAAAUUUAGAAUGAAAUUGUGAGGCUAACUCCAUAGGGGAUGCUAAAAAUAUGAACUCCAUACGAGUACAAUUAUCCACAAUAUCAUUUCCCCUACUUAAAGGUGCUGGAAGCCCACUAUGGGCACGGACAUGUCCAAUAUAUAAUGGUUGGCAACUUUCCCACAGCAACUUCUGUAAUUGUAAGGCCAAGGCUUGGACGGUACUAUGAGCUUUUAUUUGGCCAGCCACUUCUAGGGAUAAAACUAUAUUAACUACAUAUUGUGAAUCUGAAAUUAGAUUAAAAGGAAAAUCAAAAUCC